Molecule: ribosomal RNA, 481 nt
Filed under: Cronobacter malonaticus 681
Lineage: Bacteria; Pseudomonadati; Pseudomonadota; Gammaproteobacteria; Enterobacterales; Enterobacteriaceae
Description: LSU rRNA
Rfam family: Bacterial large subunit ribosomal RNA
Source: RNAcentral
GCGAACCGGGGGAACUGAAACAUCUAAGUACCCCGAGGAAAAGAAAUCAACCGAGAUUCCCCCAGUAGCGGCGAGCGAACGGGGAACAGCCCAGAGCCUGAAUCAGCUUGUGUGUCAGUGGAACGGUCUGGAAAGGCCGGCGAUACAGGGUGACAGCCCCGUACACGAAGGCACACAGGCUGUGAGCUCGAUGAGUAGGGCGGGACACGUGAUAUCCUGUCUGAAGAUGGGGGGACCAUCCUCCAAGGCUAAAUACUCCUGACUGACCGAUAGUGAACCAGUACCGUGAGGGAAAGGCGAAAAGAACCCCGGCGAGGGGAGUGAAACAGAACCUGAAACCGUGUACGUACAAGCAGUGGGAGCCUUCGUAAGAGGGUGACUGCGUACCUUUUGUAUAAUGGGUCAGCGACUUAUAUUCUGUAGCAAGGUUAACCGUAUAGGGGAGCCGAAGGGAAACCGAGUCUUAAUUGGGCGUUAAGUU